RNAcentral lists this unclassified non-coding RNA (212 nucleotides) under soil metagenome. RNAcentral describes it as "partial contains 5.8S ribosomal RNA, internal transcribed spacer 2, and large subunit ribosomal RNA". The record is from RNAcentral.
AACCAUAGAAACCUGCGGAGUACCUGCGGAAGGAUCAUUACAGAGUUAUCCAACUCCCAAACCCAUGUGAACUUAUCUCUUUGUUGCCUCGGCGCAAGCUACCCGGGACCUCGCGCCCCGGGCGGCCCGCCGGCGGACACACCAAACUCUGUUAUCUUCGUUGAUUAUCUGAGUGUCUUAUUUAAUAAGUCAAAACUUUCAACAAUGGAUCU